Long non-coding RNA from Cygnus atratus (black swan), 1287 nucleotides. RefSeq lists it as uncharacterized. Lineage: Eukaryota; Metazoa; Chordata; Aves; Anseriformes; Anatidae. The transcript has 2 exons. The record is from RefSeq and is a predicted model, not a curated record.
CAGCAGAGCAGUGAGGUCUCCAGGUUUUGAUGGCUUCAGAUCACAGUCUCAGGUGAGCGUGAGAUAUUUCAGAGAGAUCUCUGCCAAACUCCAGCGCUUUGAAGGCAGCUGGUGGAGCAACCUCCAGAGAUGGGGAGAAGGAGCAGGGCUGGCUGGGUGUCUUCACAAGGGAACAGAAUCAAAGCCAGAAGAGACGGCAGCACGAGCUGAUCCAACUCGGUCCAACAGGGGUUCCUCCCUCCCUUUUUUUACCAAGUCCAGCCCCGUGGCCCUUCCCGCUUUGAAACCAGUGAAACCUUUGCUAAGCUUCAGAUUAUGUUCCUGGGUUGCCAGUGGAGAUGGCCUGCAGCAAAGCCCUGGGUUUUAUCUUUAAUUACCAGCGGGAAUUUUACAUUCUUGCAGAAGCCGAGCUGAGAAAAAAGCCAGCAUCUGUCCCUGCUGCGGAGCUGAGCAUCUGCUCAGGGGAAGGCUGGCAAUAGGAAGAGAGGGGUCAGCAGAAGAUGAUCUUCUCAGCCCUCCUGUAUAGACUGCGUCUCUGAUGUGUUUGCUUAGCCAGAAGCAAAUCCCUUUCACAAACUCAUGGCACUGCCGAGGAAAAGUAGGCACAGAAAAUUAACGAAGCGGGAGCAUCAAUUCCUUGUCUAUCACCAGUAAGAGUCUCCCGAGGACUACAUAGGUGGAGGAAAACAUUCUCUCUCCAAUGCCCAGGGAGACAAGGCUGUGCUUCCAGCAGCGCUAUCCAACUCCCUGCCGAGUGUUUUCAUCCCCUGCAUGUUGUCCUGUGCUGGAAGUGGUGCACGGGUUGGUGUACUGGCACGUGUAGGAAGGGGCAGGAAGGCAGAGCAGCACGAGCUGAGCUGGUCACGGUACAACGGGCUGGGGCAGGGCAGUGUAUUUGGAGCUUAUUUCCUAACCAUUUGUUUUUCUUGCUGUUCUUGACAAACAAUGCACGGGUCUACGUGUGUUCCUCAGGUUCGAGGUCACCUUGCGUUCAGCUGAGCACAACAAAACCUCAGAGGAAUGGGGCGCAGCAAAAGAGCUGGGUGGCUUUGAGCCUGAAGGAGCAACGGGCCUGGAAAUAUCACAGCUCCUAGAGGUUAGAGAGCCCUACAUCUGCUGCCUUUGCAGGUGGCUUCCUAAGAUACCCUGCUCCUGCAGUGCAGAGGUCUGGGGAUCCCCUCCGAGCUGACGGUGACAGCUAAGGAGGGGUGAGAGCCUGUGCAAAGCCAUUCCCACCCUGGCCAGCCUGGCCAAUUAAAAAAUAAAGGCAGAGGCGCUUGGUCCGGG